CUCCAGACUCCUACGGGAGGCAGCAGUGGGGAAUAUUGCACAAUGGGGGAAACCCUGAUGCAGCGACGCCGCGUGAGCGAUGAAGUAUUUCGGUAUGUAAAGCUCUAUCAGCAGGGAAGAAGAUGACGGUACCUGACUAAGAAGCCCCGGCUAACUACGUGCCAGCAGCCGCGGUAAUACGUAGGGGGCAAGCGUUAUCCGGAUUUACUGGGUGUAAAGGGAGCGUAGACGGCGAUGCAAGCCAGAUGUGAAAGCCCGGGGCUCAACCCCGGGACUGCAUUUGGAACUGUGUGGCUGGAGUGUCGGAGAGGCAGGCGGAAUUCCUAGUGUAGCGGUGAAAUGCGUAGAUAUUAGGAGGAACACCAGUGGCGAAGGCGGCCUGCUGGACGAUGACUGACGUUGAGGCUCGAAAGCGUGGGGAGCAAACAGGAUUAGAUACCCUCGUA
This 446-nucleotide ribosomal RNA is filed under the name uncultured bacterium. Its description in RNAcentral is "bacterial SSU rRNA". It matches the Rfam family "Bacterial small subunit ribosomal RNA", at positions 329 to 792 of the family's 1533-position model. The record is from RNAcentral.